Long non-coding RNA from Oryzias melastigma (Indian medaka), 499 nucleotides. RefSeq lists it as uncharacterized. The record is from RefSeq and is a predicted model, not a curated record. The transcript has 2 exons. NCBI's taxonomy places the organism in Eukaryota, Metazoa, Chordata, Actinopteri, Beloniformes, Adrianichthyidae.
GGAUAACAGCUAAAAUGUGCUCAAGAGAAAUAUCAUUUUGUGGGCUUUUGUACAUAUAAAAAUGUUGUUGUUUUUUUAUUUGUUCAAAAAAUACAGAAAACCAGAAGUACUUGUUCAGGUAAGACCUGAGUAUCUCUGACUAAACACUAAAGCAAUUCAAUUUGAUUCCAUUUAGAUUUUUCUUUAAGAUAUUUAAUUAAUUUAAAUUGGAUUUUUUUGUUAUGUAGGAUCCUCCUUAUAUUGUUUUUUCCACGAAAAGUGUUUAAAAUCAACUAAAAAUCAAUUAAACUGAUGCUAAAAAGUCAACUAGACUUUUUUUACUUAAUAAAAUCGGAUAAGUGAGUUUCUAGUUCAAUUAACUAGCUCUCCUACGGUUUGACAACGCCGGUGUUAGCAAGUACACGUUUUCUGAUGUAAAGUAGUAUUUCUUGACGGGAAAAAAUAUUAUUAAGCUUUACAUGUUUUAAAAGGAAUACUCGUUUAUGUGAGAUUAAAAAAA